UUACGACCAUAUCAAUUUGAAAAACUGGUACCCGUAUGAUCACCAAAGUUAAGCAACAUUGAGCCUGAUUAGUACCUACAUGGGAGAACACAUGGGAAUACCAACUGCUGUAAG
Molecule: non-coding RNA, 114 nt
Organism: Acanthosepion pharaonis
Lineage: Eukaryota; Metazoa; Mollusca; Cephalopoda; Sepiida; Sepiidae
Source: the annotation of a GenBank genome assembly